UACGUAGGGUGCAAGCGUUAAUCGGAAUUACUGGGCGUAAAGCGUGCGCAGGCGGCUUUGCAAGACAGAUGUGAAAUCCCCGGGCUCAACCUGGGAACUGCAUUUGUGACUGCAUGGCUAGAGUACGGUAGAGGGGGAUGGAAUUCCGCGUGUAGCAGUGAAAUGCGUAGAUAUGCGGAGGAACACCGAUGGCGAAGGCAAUCCCCUGGACCUGUACUGACGCUCAUGCACGAAAGGCGUGGGGAGCAAACAGG
This 254-nucleotide ribosomal RNA is filed under the name uncultured bacterium. RNAcentral describes it as "partial 16S ribosomal RNA". It matches the Rfam family "Bacterial small subunit ribosomal RNA", at positions 524 to 776 of the family's 1533-position model. The record is from RNAcentral.